UUGGGUUGUAAAGCUCUUUCGUCGGGGAAGAAAAUGACUGUACCCGAAUAAGAAGGUCCGGCUAACUUCGUGCCAGCAGCCGCGGUAAUACGAAGGGACCUAGCGUAGUUCGGAAUUACUGGGCUUAAAGAGUUCGUAGGUGGUUGAAAAAGUUGGUGGUGAAAUCCCAGAGCUUAACUCUGGAACUGCCAUCAAAACUUUUCAGCUAGAGUUUGAUAGAGGAAAGCAGAAUUUCUAGUGUAGAGGUGAAAUUCGUAGAUAUUAGAAAGAAUACCAAUUGCGAAGGCAGCUUUCUGGAUCAUUACUGACACUGAGGAACGAAAGCAUGGGUAGCGAAGAGGAUUAGAUACCCUCGUAGUCCAUGCCGUAAACGAUGUGUGUUAGACGUUGGAAAUUUAUUUUCUGUGUCGCAGCGAAAGCGAUAAACACACCGCCUGGGGAGUACGACCGCAAGGUUAAAACUCAAAUGAAUUGACGGGGACCCGCACAAGUAGUGGAGCAUGUGGUUUAAUUCGAAGAUACGCGCAGAACCUUACCAACACUUGACAUGUUCGUCGCGACUUUAAGAGAUUAAAGUUUUCGGUUCGGCCGGACGAAACACAGGUGCUGCAUGGCUGUCGUCAGCUCGUGUCGUGAGAUGUUGGGUUAAGUCCCGCAACGAGCGCAACCCUCACUUUUAGUUGCCAUCAUUUAGUUGGGCACUCUGAAAGAACUGCCAGUGAUAAGCUGGAGGAAGGUGGGGAUGACGUCAAGUCCUCAUGGCCCUUACGUGUUGGGCUACACACGUGCUACAAUGAUAUCUACAACAGGAGGC
Molecule: ribosomal RNA, 814 nt
Filed under: marine metagenome
Description: bacterial SSU rRNA
Rfam family: Bacterial small subunit ribosomal RNA
Source: RNAcentral